UUUAAAUUGAGAGUUUGAUCCUGGCUCAGGACGAACGCUGGCGGCGUGCUUAACACAUGCAAGUCGAGCGAUGAAGCUUCCUUUGGGAAGUGGAUUAGCGGCGGACGGGUGAGUAACACGUGGGCAACCUGCCUCAAAGAGGGGAAUAGCCCUCCGAAAGGAGGAUUAAUACCGCAUAAAGUUAAGGUUUCGCAUGAAAUUUUAACCAAAGGAGUAAUCUGCUUUGAGAUGGGCCCGCGCCCCAUUAGCUAGUUGGUAAGGUAAUGGCUUACCAAGGCGACGAUGGGUAGCCGACCUGAGAGGGUGAUCGGCCACAUUGGAACUGAG
RNAcentral lists this ribosomal RNA (327 nucleotides) under Clostridium tetani. Its description in RNAcentral is "bacterial SSU rRNA". It matches the Rfam family "Bacterial small subunit ribosomal RNA", at positions 1 to 323 of the family's 1533-position model. The record is from RNAcentral. Lineage: Bacteria; Bacillati; Bacillota; Clostridia; Eubacteriales; Clostridiaceae.